RNAcentral lists this unclassified non-coding RNA (320 nucleotides) under uncultured fungus. RNAcentral's name for it is "sequence contains ITS1". The stretch from base 1 to 103 matches the Rfam family "5.8S ribosomal RNA", at positions 50 to 154 of the family's 154-position model. Lineage: Eukaryota; Fungi. The record is from RNAcentral.
GAAGUGCGAUAAGCAAUGCGAAUUGCAGAACCGUGAGUCAUCAGAUUUUUGAACGUAACUGGCUCCUUCGGGUUAUCCUGGAGGAAUGCUUCUUUCAGUGUUAUAUUUCUCAUCACCCAAAGCAUAAUGUGAUAGAUGCCCUUCUAUUACUAAGCUUGAAAGCACUCUACGCUUUGCAGUGGUUUCGGCCACACUCAAUGCAGCAGUCACGUUCUACAACGUGAACUCAUUGAGAGUAAAGGUAGCGCAGUUUACUGCCAGUGCUUAGAAACUCAAUUUCUUAUGAUCUGAGAUGAAGUAGGACCACCCGCUGAACUUAA